AACGAACGCUGGCGGCAUGCUUAACACAUGCAAGUCGAACGCAUGCCUUCGGGCAUGAGUGGCAGACGGGGGCGUAACGCGUGGUAACCUACCCCUUGGUACCGGCUAGCUCCGGGAAACUGGGGAUAAUACGGUAUGUUUCCUGAGGGACAAAGAGAAAACGCCCAGGGAGGGGGCGGAGUCGGAUUACCUAGUGGGCGGGGUAUGGGCCUACCAAGGCGACGAUCCGUAGCUGGUCUCAGAGGAUGCUCAGCCACAUUGGGGGUGGGACACGGCCGGGACUCCUACGCGAGGCGGGAAAGGGGAAUAUUGGAAAGUGGGGGCAGGGCUGAUGCAGCCAUGCCGCGUAAGUGAUGAAGGCCGGAAAGUUGUAAAGCUCAUUCACAGGUGACGAUAAUGACGGUACCCGGAGAAGAAGCCCCGGCUAACUACGUG
RNAcentral lists this ribosomal RNA (435 nucleotides) under uncultured bacterium. RNAcentral describes it as "partial 16S ribosomal RNA". It matches the Rfam family "Bacterial small subunit ribosomal RNA", at positions 29 to 507 of the family's 1533-position model. The record is from RNAcentral.